AGGGAACCAAGGAGUCCAGAGCACUGAGGCGGGAGCGAGCCGGCAGGCUUCAAGGAGAUCGGUUUAUCCAGCCCUGCUAGACAGCGCUGGAAGGAGAAGCAGCAGAAGAGGAGACUGGAAGCUGGCGGGAUGGGCCACCACAGGCUCUGGCUCUUACUUGCGGUGGGAGCUGAGGAGCGCUGGUCUGGAGUGCAUUUGAAAGGAGUGUGUACCACUGGGAUGCUCCUGCCUCCCUCCAGGUGUGUACCACUGGGAUGCUCCUGCCUCCCUCCAGAUGUGUACCAACAGGAUGCUCCUGCCUCCAGUCAGUCCUACAAGAUGUUGCAAUGAUGCUCGCUUUGUGGAAGACAUUGUAGAUCCUGAAGGUGAGAACUGCUCUGAGCCACACUCCAGAAGCCAUUCACUCCUCACUCGCAUGCCUGUGCUGGUGCCCCUGCUCUUCUUGUGUAUGCAGAAGAGAAAUAAAUAAUAGGCCGACCCAGCUCAGAAUCUGUCACCCCAAAAUAAACCUGACCUUAAGAACCUUCAUUCCCAUCUUCUACCUGCCUUCCCCUCCCGCCUCACACUAAUCCACAUUCCGGUAAGAGAGGGGCCAGUUAGCCAGGGAUCCUAUGAGAGUCUGGGAGGGGUUGGACCUGAUGAUACCCAGUCCAAGGAAGCUGGAAGAAAUUCGUGUGCGGCCGUGCCCAGGAAUAAACAUUCAGUAGCCAUUUGGUCCACAGGCUAAACCAGUUGUUCACCAGAGUGUCCUCUGUGUGCCCUGGGUUUCAGUCGCCUGCCUACAACCAACCGUGACCCCACCUAGCUCUUACCUUCCUUUCGGUUGACUUUCUCUGAGCUCAGAGUAAAUAACCUCAGCCCCUCCCAGCAAUGGCAUGUCUCCAGUCCCCGCCUGGGCCUGCAAAGCUGCCUCGAGGAGACCUUUUCGGCCACUUUACCAACGUCCUUCUUUAGCUCAGCGGUUGGAUGCACUCAUGUCAGCAAAGGCUACCCAUCUGACUUACAGUUUUUAAUGGUCCAGAAGUCUCUCGUCUCCAGCAGCAGAAUCCUCCAGGGCCUUACAGACUCUCAGAUCCCAGGAGCUAGAAGCUACUUACAGGUGCUUCUUGUGUAACUCCUUUAGUCAUUGUUCUGGCAUUUGCAGGCCCAAGUCCCCUGUUAUAAAGCAGAGUGGGCCCUCACAUCCUACCUGACAUUUUCUCCUGGCAAUACUUGUUUUAAUUUUUUUGUUUAAUUUUUUUUGUUAAUGUUCUAAUUUAAAAAAAUAUAUAUAUCUUUAUCACAUUCUCCCCCUCCCCCGACUUCCUGACCCUCCACACUAUCUUCCUACCCACCCAACUUCCUGUUCUUUCUCUCUCACCACCCUCCCCCCCCGAAA
RNAcentral lists this long non-coding RNA (1378 nucleotides) under Mus caroli (Ryukyu mouse). Its description in RNAcentral is "lncRNA (MGP_CAROLIEiJ_G0005520.1)". The record is from RNAcentral. Lineage: Eukaryota; Metazoa; Chordata; Mammalia; Rodentia; Muridae.